GAAAAUAAAAAUUAAAUAAAAUUAAGUAAGACAUUAAGAAAUGUGGAAAAUAUUUUUAUGAAUAAAGAAAAUAUUUUUUAUUAGUUAAAAUCAAAACAGAAUUAAAAUAAGAAUUAAAAAAAAGAAAAUGAAAAUGGGAAAUGGAUCAGUUGAUGGGCCAGGAAAUGGAGGUAUGAAGAGCGAAUGGCAUAGGCCCAUGGUCCACAACCAUUAAAUCCAGCGUGACACACAUUAAAGUAACAUUUUAAUAAGAAAAUUCAUGUAACAUAAUAUCAAUUGGGCAAUGCAACUUAAGUGACUAAAUGACAAAAUA
RNAcentral lists this long non-coding RNA (313 nucleotides) under Lathyrus oleraceus (garden pea). RNAcentral's name for it is "Pisum sativum (pea) long non-coding RNA (PSAT_LNC029459)". Lineage: Eukaryota; Viridiplantae; Streptophyta; Magnoliopsida; Fabales; Fabaceae. The record is from RNAcentral.